RNAcentral lists this long non-coding RNA (2550 nucleotides) under Triticum aestivum (bread wheat). RNAcentral's name for it is "long non-coding RNA (TAES_LNC008733)". Lineage: Eukaryota; Viridiplantae; Streptophyta; Magnoliopsida; Poales; Poaceae. The record is from RNAcentral.
UGGCAAUCACAGUAAUGACUACAAGUGUAAUACAGUACUUUACAAGCUUUACAAGCAAUCACAAACUGGCACCUGCUCCCGUCAUGAACAUGCCAAACUCACAACAUGCCAAACUCGUUGGACUACCAUAGUGAUAUGAACAACAUGCCGAACUAGCUGGACAACCGUAGUUAGGGCUGGGAACAAACAGAACGGCCUUCAAGAAAACAGACAACAUGCCUUCCUCGGUCGCCCUGUUACAUGAAUCAGUAGAGAAGAAUCAAAAAAACUGGGGCAAAUAUAUUAUGAACAGACCAUUCAAGAAAAGGAUAGUUAUUUAGAAUGAUAACACAAAUUGAGCUAGUACCAUGCUUUUUGUUCUCCAGCUAGUUAAAAUGAGAUACUCGUUCAUACAAGAAAGGUGACUCGUGAAAAUAGAGCAUUCUACUCAUAGCUCGCAGAGUAUCAAUAUUCUGUUCUUAUAAGCUUAUUCUUAUGCGUGAAGCAAGUAAGGAAAUCUGACCAAAUAAGCAACACCUCCAUAAACUGAUCAUGACUAAAUGGAGCAGAGGAAGGAAAGGAGCUCUCCAUGGCUGUUUUUGUAGCCGAUGCCGAACAACACAGCUGCCACCACCGUUGCAUGGAAGCAGCAGAAAAGAGGAGCCUGGCAUGACGAACCCCUUGUACCGAAUCAAAUCAUGCUGCACAAGAAGGACAAGAGAAAUAAGAAGAUAAUCUUGAGGUCAAAUCAAAAAUCAGAAAAAUAAAUCAUGGACUCAAGCACAUUCAUACAUAUACUUUAAGUUGUUAAACAGAAUCAUAGAUUCCAUCACGUAAUCCAAAAAAUUUGAACAUAUAUAUAUAUAUGCAUGCUUGUCAAAGUUUCAUUCCAGAGAAUUAAAGUGCUGGGUAAGAAGCCUAAUGUACAAUUGAUACAAGUUAAUACAAGCCUGAUGUACUACUCUGGGUAAGAAGAAGCAUGUACUUUAGUAGUUUUAGCACACUAAUACAUGUGUUAAAAUGGAAGCGUCGCUGCUGGGUUAUAUUAAUAAAUAAUCUAAGUGUUGCAACACCCAACAAGAUUUGCAUGAACAGGUAAAACCUAGCAAGUACUUGUACUGGGAUGUUGUCCAUCCAACAGAGACAACAAACCAGCUUAUCACAAGACUGAUGCUGGACUCCAUUGCCGGAAUCUACAGCUAGGCACUCAAGCUUAAGGGGAUCCUCAUGUGGAUCGAGCCUGCAUGUUAAUCUUUACACUAGCAGGGCCAUUUCUGUUCUCUUUCUUUCUUUGACACCAGUGUCAUGUACUAUACUCAACUGUACUGCAAGUGCCAUGUGCUACUGCAGUUUAGUUGAGUUUUAAGACUAGAACAUGUUAUUGUAACCUUUGCAACUGAAGACACAGAAUAACUAAGUGGAUCAGCAUGAAUGAACAAGCUAAAGGGUCAGUGUCUAAUGUCAGAAUCUACAGCUCAAGAGGAUCCUGUGUGGAUCAAGCCAAAGUGUUAAGGCUACCUUUUACAUCAGUGUCAUGUGCUAUAUUCAAACUGUGCUGCAACUUAGUUGAGUUGCAAGUAGGACUACAGUGAAGAUGCUAUUCUAACUUCUGUGACUGAAGAAAAAGACACCGUAUGUACAUCGUGUUAAACAUUAGUACACAGCGCUGACGCUACUAUACAACCACGAAUUAAAUCACUGGACACCAAGGCCGGAAUGGCGCUAGAGUGGACCAAGCAGUCAAACUGGGACAGAUUGGAUGAUUUUACCCUCGAGUAAUCUAAGCAGCUAGAACCGACAUCCUCCCCCUCUGCACGCUAUCCUCUCUUCACUGUCUAAACCGAACCAUCGUCUUCCUUGACACCCGCAGCACCUCGGUGUACCAUGGUGAUGGCCUGCACAAAUCCCCUGCAUGGAUCAGAUCAGAUCUAAUCAAGAAGAAGCAGAGGAGGGGAGGGGAGGGGAGGAGGGACGAGCAAUCAGUGCAUCAACAAAAUAUGGAACAUCAAGCACAGCAUGACAACUAGAGUAUAUGUAUUGCUGGCUCUUAUUAGUCCACAACCGAGUGGAUUUUCAACCAUACUAUAACUAUCACUCCAUCCAUUAUUUAAACUACCAAAACGUCUUUAUAUUGAGAAACAUAGGUACUGGUUGCAUAUAUAGACUAGUAGCAGUACUAUGUGUGGCAGUUUUAACAAGUCAAAUAAUUUUACUGUAGACAAGUUGCAUAUAUAGACUAGUAGUAGUACUGUAAUCUAACAGUGGCUAAAGCAUACAAGAAACAUAUUGCAGUGUACUCUAGCCCAAACGAAUUCCCACCCAUGCCUUGUUUCAGAUUAGACACUUUCUUACAACUGAAUUCCAGAUACAAUUGGUUUAAGAUCCAGGUGUACUAAUUAAGAAAGAGGCGACAAGUAGCCAUUGCAUGUGACGGCAGGCAGACAGGAAAUGGUUAGGAAGAAGAGGAGCAGUGGAGCAAUGACUGACCCAUUGGAGACCCCGGUCUUGUCCUUCUUGAAGACGACCCCGAAUCCCCGAUGCACUCGCCGUCGACCACAUUGGAGGCACUAA